RNAcentral lists this ribosomal RNA (723 nucleotides) under uncultured bacterium. Its description in RNAcentral is "bacterial SSU rRNA". It matches the Rfam family "Bacterial small subunit ribosomal RNA", at positions 61 to 779 of the family's 1533-position model. The record is from RNAcentral.
GUCGAACGGAGAUUAUACGCAGAGGCGAUUUCGGUCAAAUCAUGUAAAAUCUUAGUGGCGGACGGGUGAGUAACGCGUGGGUAACCUGCCUUACACUGGGGGAUAACACUUAGAAAUAGGUGCUAAUACCGCAUAAGCGCACGAAGCCGCAUGGAUUUGUGUGAAAAACUCCGGUGGUGUAAGAUGGACCCGCGUCUGAUUAGCUUGUUGGCGGGGUAACGGCCCACCAAGGCGACGAUCAGUAGCCGGCCUGAGAGGGUGGACGGCCACAUUGGGACUGAGACACGGCCCAAACUCCUACGGGAGGCAGCAGUGGGGGAUAUUGGACAAUGGGGGGAACCCUGAUCCAGCGACGCCGCGUGAGUGAAGAAGUAUUUCGGUAUGUAAAGCUCUGUCAGCAGGGAAGAAAGAAAUGACGGUACCUGACCAAGAAGCCCCGGCUAACUACGUGCCAGCAGCCGCGGUAAUACGUAGGGGGCAAGCGUUAUCCGGAAUUACUGGGUGUAAAGGGAGCGUAGACGGUUAAGUAAGUCUGGAGUGAAAGGCCGGGGCCCAACCCCGGGACUGCUCUGGAAACUAUUGAACUUGAGUGCAGGAGAGGUAAGCGGAAUUCCUAGUGUAGCGGUGAAAUGCGUAGAUAUUAGGAGGAACACCAGUGGCGAAGGCGGCUUACUGGACUGUAACUGACGUUGAGGCUCGAAAGCGUGGGGAGCAAACAGGAUU